GAGGUUGGGGAUGUAGCUCAGUGGUAGCAUUCUUCCCUAGCAUAUGCCAGGCUCUGGGUUCAUUCCCCAUUGCAAAAGAAAAAAAGAAAAAUAAUAUUUUUGAUAUGUAAUUCACAAAAUUGGCCUUCUUUAACGUGACAACAGAAGUGACAUUGCUACAUUCACAGUGUUGUGAAAGUAACACUUCUUCUUCUACAACAUUUCUGGAGGAGUUGGGACCAUCAGCCCCACUCUCCUUUGACAUCUAGGAAGUGGCAGAGGAGCCACAAAUGGAGCUCAGUCAAAGGGUAAAUGUCAUUAACCACACAUACAUAGUGAAAUUUCCAUAAAAAUCCCUUUGAGCAUUCAAAGUUGGUGAACACAACACUACACCUUGAUAGGUGCUGGGAGGGCCAUGCAAGGGCAGAGAAACUGCACUGCCUCCCCCUCCCCCAGGUGCCUCACCCUAUGCACCUCUUUCUUGUGACUCAAAACGGUUUUAUCUGUAGUUAUAGAUUGGCAAGAGAAAAUAAACUCUUUCUGAGUUCUGCAAAUCAUUCUAGGAAAUGAUUGCAUCCAAGGAGCGAGCUAGUCAGUCAGAACUAAAAGAGGCCUGGGACCUCAAGUUUGGACUUGAUUAGGAGCAAUCAUGAAAAUGAGCCCUUAAUCUGUGGGAUCUGGUGCUUGGCAUCAGAAAUGAAAUGAAUCAUUAGACUGGACCUAAAUCUGGAACUCACUGUGGAGUCUGGCUCCCAAUCUUUAUCACUAGGCUGCUGCCAUGACCCACACAUCUUGCUCGUGACAUGCCCA
RNAcentral lists this long non-coding RNA (789 nucleotides) under Marmota monax (woodchuck). Lineage: Eukaryota; Metazoa; Chordata; Mammalia; Rodentia; Sciuridae. The record is from RNAcentral.